Small nuclear RNA from Fukomys damarensis (Damara mole-rat), 109 nucleotides. Lineage: Eukaryota; Metazoa; Chordata; Mammalia; Rodentia; Bathyergidae. The record is from Ensembl.
GUGCUUGCUUCAGCAGCACAUAUACUAAAAUUGGAAUGAUACAGAGAAGAUAAGCAUGGCCCCCAUGCACAAGGAUGACACGCAAAUUCAUGAAGCGUUCCAUUGCUUA